CCUACGGGUGGCAGCAGUGAGGAAUAUUGGUCAAUGGGCGUAAGCCUGAACCAGCCAAGUCGCGUGAGGGAUGAAGGUUCUAUGGAUCGUAAACCUCUUUUAUAAGGGCAUAAAUUGCGUGACGUGUCCCGUUUUGUAUGUACCUUAUGAAUAAGGAUCUGCUAACUCCUUGCCAGCAGCCGCGGUAAUACGGAGGAUCCGAGCGUUAUCCGGCUUUAUUGGGUUUAAAGGGUGCGUAGGCGGCCUUUUAAGUCAGCGGUGAAAGUCUGUGGCUCAACCAUAGAAUUGCCGUUGAAACUGGUUUUCUUGAGUGAGCGAGAAGUAUGCGGAAUGCGGGGUGUAGCGGUGAAAUGCAUAGAUAUCACGCAGAACUCCGAUUGCGAAGGCAGCAUACCGGCGCUCAACUGACGCUCAUGCACGAAAGUGUGGGUAUCGAACAGGAUUAGAUACCCCGGUAGUC
This 460-nucleotide ribosomal RNA is filed under the name uncultured bacterium. RNAcentral describes it as "partial 16S ribosomal RNA". It matches the Rfam family "Bacterial small subunit ribosomal RNA", at positions 338 to 795 of the family's 1533-position model. The record is from RNAcentral.